RNAcentral lists this ribosomal RNA (1517 nucleotides) under metagenome. Its description in RNAcentral is "bacterial LSU rRNA". It matches the Rfam family "Bacterial large subunit ribosomal RNA", at positions 1396 to 2894 of the family's 2925-position model. The record is from RNAcentral.
GCGAGGCCGAAAGGCGUAGUCGAUGGGAAACAGGUUAAUAUUCCUGUACUUGGUGUUACUGCGAAGGGGGGACGGAGAAGGCUAUGUUGGCCGGGCGACGGUUGUCCCGGUUUAAGCGUGUAGGCUGGUUUUCCAGGCAAAUCCGGAAAAUCAAGGCUGAGGCGUGAUGACGAGGCACUACGGUGCUGAAGCAACAAAUGCCCUGCUUCCAGGAAAAGCCUCUAAGCAUCAGGUAACAUCAAAUCGUACCCCAAACCGACACAGGUGGUCAGGUAGAGAAUACCAAGGCGCUUGAGAGAACUCGGGUGAAGGAACUAGGCAAAAUGGUGCCGUAACUUCGGGAAAAGGCACGCUGAUAUGUAGGUGAGGUCCCUCGCGGAUGGAGCUGAAAUCAGUCGAAGAUACCAGCUGGCUGCAACUGUUUAUUAAAAACACAGCACUGUGCAAACACGAAAGUGGACGUAUACGGUGUGACGCCUCCCCGGUGCCGGACGGUUAAUUGAUGGGGUUAGCGCAAGCGAAGCUCUUGAUCGAAGCCCCGGUAAACGGCGGCCGUAACAAUAACGGUCCUAAGGUAGCGAAAUUCCUUGUCGGGUAAGUUCCGACCUGCACGAAUGGCGUAAUGAUGGCCAGGCUGUCUCCACCCGAGACUCAGUGAAAUUGAACUCGCUGUGAAGAUGCAGUGUACCCGCGGCAAGACGGAAAGACCCCGUGAACCUUUACUAUAGCUUGACACUGAACAUUGAGCCUUGAUGUGUAGGAUAGGUGGGAGGCUUUGAAGUGUGGACGCCAGUCUGCAUGGAGCCGACCUUGAAAUACCACCCUCUAAUGUUUGAUGUUCUAACGUUGACCCGUAAUCCGGGUUGCGGACAGUGUCUGGUGGGUAGUUUGACUGGGGCGGUCUCCUCCUAAAGAGUAACGGAGGAGCACGAAGGUUGGCUAAUCCUGGUCGGACAUCAGGAGGUUAGUGCAAUGGCAUAAGCCAGCUUGACUGCGAGCGUGACGGCGCGAGCAGGUGCGAAAGCAGGUCAUAGUGAUCCGGUGGUUCUGAAUGGAAGGGCAUCGCUCAACGGAUAAAAGGUACUCCGGGGAUAACAGGCUGAUACCGCCCAAGAGUUCAUAUCGACGGCGGUGUUUGGCACCUUGGUGUCGGCUCAUCACAUCCUGGGGCUGAAGUAGGUCCCAAGGGUAUGGCUGUUCGCCAUUUAAAGUGGUACGCGAGCUGGGUUUAGAACGUCGUGAGACAGUUCGGUCCCUAUCUGCCGUGGGCGCUGGAGAACUGAGGGGGGCUGCUCCUAGUACGAGAGGACCGGAGUGGACGCAUCACUGGUGUUCGGGUUGUCAUGCCAAUGGCACUGCCCGGUAGCUAAAUGCGGAAGAGAUAAGUGCUGAAAGCAUCUAAGCACGAAACUUGCCCCGAGAUGAGUUCUCCCUGACUCCUUGAGAGUCCUGAAGGAACGUUGAAGACGACGACGUUGAUAGGCCGGGUGUGUAAGCGCAGCGAUGCGUUGAGCUAA